ACUGGUCGAACUUGGCGUACAUUGCCCACUCGGUGGGGUCGCUCUCGUAGGCUUCCAUGAUGGCCUGCACCUCCUCUACAUUGACCUCAUCGCCGGCAAAGAGCUGGUGCAGGAUGCGGAUCAGAUCAGCCAGGGUCCGUGGCUUCAGCACUUCGGUCUGUUCCAUCUCGUGGGGAGCUGGCUGCGCGCGCGUCUCACUGCUGGGCUGCGGUGGAGGAGCUGAGCGAGCCAAGGAGCUGGGGGCGAGGGAGCCUAACAGCCCGCUAGACCGCUAAGCAGACACACACGCACAAACCCAGCAUUAGAGUGCCGAAACGUAAGGAUGUCGUCGCAGAGACAGCAAGAGACCCACCCCCAGGCCCCUGGCAGCGCAGUGGAUCCGGGAUCGCUGGAGACGCGGUGCACACACAAAUCAGGUUCAGAUCUGUGGGGUUCAUCCUCCCGGGCCCCUUUUAAGCGCUUGGAGUCACUAGGAAUGUACCAACGGCCCUCGGAGGGAGGACGAGGCGGAGAGCCACCCAAGAAAGGUGGCGGAGGCGGGGAGACCCUGCGGGCACGGCUCACGCGCACAUCCCCGGCUUCCCCGGGCUCCGCGCCUUCCCAAGAGCCCCGUUGUCUCCGGCGUCCCAGGGAUCGCGUGGGCUCCGCGCAAUCUCUCCCCCACUUUAACGGCGCGUUUUAGCCGCCCGGCCUAACGCCUCUCCCCGCUCCACCUCCGCCGCUGUGGUUCGCGACGCUGGGACGUAGACAAAAAGGGUCGGAGGAGAUGGCUGCGGGGACUGACGCUGAGUAAAGGAGGAAAAGAAAAGGGAAGGAGAGGGACACUUCUUCCAAAUAGAGAAUUGUGAGGAGCCUGCGAAAAUUGAGGAUGGAUUCCACUCCUAGGCCAGAGAGUGCCUGUUUUGUCGAUUGAAACUAUCCACGAUAUGCCCCAGGCUAGAUGUGAAACCAAAACGCCUAACCUUUUCUGCCUGGUGGACUGCCCUCUACUGGACUAUUUGAGGUAUUCAGCCAGCAGGUCAAUGUGACUAAAAAGGUAAACAUAGAGAUAAAUGUAAACAUUAAAAAAAAAGGAACCCUUUAGUAUAUUAACUUUUACCAUGAAAACAAUUUCAGUCAUUUUGAGAACUGACAAUGAAGAUGUUUAUACAGUCUUAGUCUCCUUUUCAACCUUGGAGGCAGAUCUGCAGCAAUAAUAGUAACAAGUAGGAGCAAUGGGUGUACUAUCAUGACCAUCUUUUAUGAUGACUGGUGCAUUAAUACAAAUCACAUUUUUCUGAGUCCAUUCAUGCUAUGGAUGUUUUCUUAUGCAUAAACAUAGAGUAGACACAUACUAAAUAGAUCACAUCUGUUAAGUCUCUUGCCACAAGCAUCAAAACUUUUCAGAGCUGUCUCUUCCGUGAAAAUCCAUUUCAUGUAGUAGCAAGUUGAUUUUCUUUGUGGUUCAUCCCCACGCCUGAGACUUGCAGUAAUGUAAAACCAGUUUACCAUCACUGCCAAAA
Molecule: long non-coding RNA, 1502 nt
Filed under: Homo sapiens (human)
Lineage: Eukaryota; Metazoa; Chordata; Mammalia; Primates; Hominidae
Description: long non-coding RNA NONHSAT103327.2
Source: RNAcentral